Molecule: ribosomal RNA, 403 nt
Filed under: Eutetramorium mocquerysi
Lineage: Eukaryota; Metazoa; Arthropoda; Insecta; Hymenoptera; Formicidae
Description: eukaryotic LSU rRNA
Source: RNAcentral
CGAACGGGGAGAUUCAUCGUCAGCGACGCUGGCUUCGCGUCGGUGGGCGAUGUCCCGCGGGGCCUCGCGGCUCGCGCGCGGACACGCUGCCGUGCGUCGAUGUCCGGCGUUCGUCGUCGUGCACUUCUCCCCUAGUAGAACGUCGCGACCCGCUGGGUGUCGGUCUACGGCCCGGGUGCGGUGGCUGACGCGUCGCCGGUAAAACGGCACGCGUCAAACCCCCGGUCGCCCGGCCGGCUGCCCGGCGGUACACGCAAGGUAUCAGGCCGCACGUUACUACAGUGCGUCGAGGCCGUCGCAAGCGCCCCGCCACGGUACACGGAGGUUAACGGACCUAGCGCCGUCACCGGUCCUGGCACGCUGUUGGUCGUACGGAUAACCUUCGACAGGCCUGCGAACGUCC